UUAAGGAUGUACUUAGGUGAGGUUUUGGAAUUUGUGUCAAAUGUUUGAACUCCUUGGUGUUUUUCCAUACAAUACAAUGUAAAAUAUUUUGCCCCAUAACACCCAUUUAUUUUUUCAUAUAAGAUUUAUUAGCUCAUGAAAGGUCAUUUACCAAAAUUUUAGAAGAUUCUUGAUUUUCUUUCUUUGGUUUUGAGACCCAAAUAAUAUCAAUGCAAAUAAAAGGUAAAAGUCCGAGUCAGCCUUUUCCCCGCCAUAUUUUAAAUCUCAAAUAUCUCGAAAAGGAGGUCCAUGACCUAUCAAUAAUUUUAGCUUAUCUUUAUCCUUAAUUGAUGCUCUACCUGCUUAUAGUAUCAAUUUUAACUUCUUAAUUUAUUAAUUUUCACCUAACCUCACCUAAGUACAUCCUUAAGAAAC
This 414-nucleotide long non-coding RNA is filed under the name Mytilus galloprovincialis (Mediterranean mussel). The record is from RNAcentral. Lineage: Eukaryota; Metazoa; Mollusca; Bivalvia; Mytilida; Mytilidae.